This 253-nucleotide ribosomal RNA is filed under the name uncultured bacterium. Its description in RNAcentral is "partial 16S ribosomal RNA". It matches the Rfam family "Bacterial small subunit ribosomal RNA", at positions 524 to 776 of the family's 1533-position model. The record is from RNAcentral.
UACGUAGGGGGCAAGCGUUGUCCGGAAUUAUUGGGCGUAAAGAGCUCGUAGGUGGCUUGUUGCGUCUGCCGUGAAAGCCCGUGGCUUAACUGCGGGUCUGCGGUGGAUACGGGCAGGCUAGAGGCUGGUAGGGGCAAGCGGAAUUCCUGGUGUAGCGGUGAAAUGCGCAGAUAUCAGGAGGAACACCGGUGGCGAAGGCGGCUUGCUGGGCCAGUUCUGACGCUGAGGAGCGAAAGCGUGGGGAGCGAACAGG